This 358-nucleotide ribosomal RNA is filed under the name uncultured eukaryote. RNAcentral's name for it is "LSU rRNA". It matches the Rfam family "Bacterial large subunit ribosomal RNA", at positions 2129 to 2486 of the family's 2925-position model. The record is from RNAcentral.
UUUGUUUGCGCAGGAUAGGUGGGAGGCGAUGAAAAUUUUCUUGCGGGAAGAUUGGAGCCGUUGGUGAGAUACCACUCUAACAAUGCUAGGAUUCUAACCCUACACCGUUAUCCGGUUAGGGGACAGUUUCAGGUGGUCAGUUUGACUGGGGCGGUCGCCUCCCAAAAGGUAACGGAGGCGUGCAAAGGUUUCCUCAGGCUGGUCGGAAAUCAGUCGUAGAGUGUAAAGGCAUAAGGAAGCUUGAUUGUGAGACCUACAAGUCGAACAAAGACGAAAGUCGGCCUUAGUGAUCCGACGGUCCCGAGUGGAAGGGCCGUCGCUCAACGGAUAAAAGUUACUCUAGGGAUAACAGGCUGAA